UACGGAGGGGGCUAGCGUUGUUCGGAAUUACUGGGCGUAAAGCGCACGUAGGCGGCUUUGUAAGUUAGAGGUGAAAGCCCGGGGCUCAACUCCGGAAUUGCCUUUAAGACUGCAUCGCUUGAAUCCAGGAGAGGUGAAUGGAAUUCCGAGUGUAGAGGUGAAAUUCGUAGAUAUUCGGAAGAACACCAGUGGCGAAGGCGGCUCACUGGACUGGUAUUGACGCUGAGGUGCGAAAGCGUGGGGAGCAAACAGG
RNAcentral lists this ribosomal RNA (253 nucleotides) under uncultured bacterium. RNAcentral's name for it is "partial 16S ribosomal RNA". It matches the Rfam family "Bacterial small subunit ribosomal RNA", at positions 524 to 776 of the family's 1533-position model. The record is from RNAcentral.